UACGUAGGGUGCAAGCGUUGUCCGGAAUCAUUGGGCGUAAAGAGCGUGUAGGCGGCCACUUAAGUCCUGCGUGAAAUCUUGCGGCUCAACCGCAAGCGGUCGUGGGAAACUGGGUGGCUAGAGUGCGGGAGAGGAGAGUGGAAUUCCUGGUGUAGCGGUGGAAUGCGCAGAUAUCAGGAAGAACACCCGUGGCGAAGGCGGCUCUCUGGAACGCAACUGACGCUGAGGAGCGAAAGCGUGGGGAGCGAACAGG
This 253-nucleotide ribosomal RNA is filed under the name uncultured bacterium. RNAcentral describes it as "partial 16S ribosomal RNA". It matches the Rfam family "Bacterial small subunit ribosomal RNA", at positions 524 to 776 of the family's 1533-position model. The record is from RNAcentral.